Molecule: ribosomal RNA, 492 nt
Filed under: uncultured bacterium
Lineage: Bacteria
Description: partial 16S ribosomal RNA
Rfam family: Bacterial small subunit ribosomal RNA
Source: RNAcentral
AUUGAACGCUGGCGGCAUGCUUUACACAUGCAAGUCGAACGGUAACAGGCCUUCGGGUGCUGACGAGUGGCGAACGGGUGAGUAAUUCAUCGGAACGUACCCUGAGGUGGGGGAUAACGCAGCUUAAGCUAUGCUAAUACCGCACGGGAUCUGAGGAUGAAAUCGGGGGACCGAGCAGCAAUGUUUCGCCUCUCGCCUUUGGAGCGGCCGAUGUUGGGUUAGAUAGUUGGUGGGUUGAAUGCCUACCAAGGCGACGAUCGGCAGCUGGUGUGAGUGACCGGCAACCCACAUUGGAGCUGGACCGGCGACAUGAGUACUACGGGAGGCAGCAGUGGGGAACUGUGGACAGUGGGGGGAAGCAUGAUCCAGCAAGGCCGCGUGCGAGAAGACGGCGUUCGGGUUGUAAACAGGUUUUGGCAGGAACAAAACGGUGUCCGCUAAUACCGGGCGCUAAUGACGGUACCUGCAGAAUAAGCACCGGCUAACUACGUG